AUUAGGCAAUAAGCAAUAGUUUAAGCACAAACAUAAUCCUUCCAUCAUUGAUUAUUGCUAAGACUAAUUGUGAUUUCCUUUCAUGGCCCGAAUGACAAGUUACUUUUCUUAGAUUUCUACAAUCCAUCUUACAACUGUAUCAUAACAUAAACCACUUAAUUAGUGCUUAAUUAUUUCCUACAAUCAUUUUCUACCUAAACUCAUUUACUGUGAUUCGACAUAUCGUAGUUUUGGGACGCAUCUAUUGUAAAUUAUUUUUUUUCUUGUUAGCUUGUCAAUUAAUUCAAGCAUUAGUCUGAGCUAUCGCAGUGGCAGCCACUGUUCUCCAAAACGUCGUUGUUUUGCUCCGCCACCGUUCUUCCUCCUCGAACCUCCACGAUGUCGAUUUGCGAUUCCGAAGCCUUCAAUUGGCACUAUGGUACGAAGUUCGACGACCAGACCUUUGAUAUCUGCGGCUGCAAGCUCUUCUUCAUCUUCGCGCGUCGGAUCUGCCGCCCUCCCACGGCAUCACGCGCCGCCAUGCUUCCUUCUAAGGGCUCGACCUCCUCCUCCUAGAAGAUAAUUGAGAUAAAUUAAUUUAUAUAAAUGGUAUAAAGAGAUAAAUCCAGAAAAAAUUAUGACAUAGAUGAUGAAGAACUCUCUUUCCUUACCAAUAAGGUUAAAAAGAAGUUAAGGAAGUAUGAAAAUUAUGGCACAAGAUGCAAACCUAAAGAUAAUAAAGAGUUCAAAAGAAAUUCGUCUCUUAUGGGUGUAGAAAGACUAAACAUUUCAUAUGAGAAUGUCUAGAUAUGAAGAACAAGGAAAAAGAUAAAAGAGGAAGAUGGAAGAUGGAAAAAAAAAGUCUCAAGAAGAAAAGGGAAACAUAC
This 866-nucleotide long non-coding RNA is filed under the name Phaseolus vulgaris (common bean). Its description in RNAcentral is "long non-coding RNA (PVUL_LNC002407)". Lineage: Eukaryota; Viridiplantae; Streptophyta; Magnoliopsida; Fabales; Fabaceae. The record is from RNAcentral.